This is a non-coding RNA of Paramuricea clavata, 1896 nucleotides long. Lineage: Eukaryota; Metazoa; Cnidaria; Anthozoa; Malacalcyonacea; Plexauridae. The record is from the annotation of a GenBank genome assembly.
GUAGUUCCCAGAGCAACGGCAGUGAUGCGGAUAUUUCACUUUCUGAGAAAGAUAAACAACUUCGAGAAAAGGAAGCCGAGGUAAAGAGAUGUUCAAUUGAGCUAGUGUCGUUUGUGUUUCACCACGUUCGGCACCUAGUUCUAUAGUUACUAUAUAUUCUCCAUAUUCUUGUUCAAUGUAAUUAUCUAUGUCAGUUAUGUACAAUAUUGUCAAGUUAUCUACGUGCCAAAUUAAAGCUGUCAAAAACAAAACAAAUAAUUCCAUCUCAUUUUUCUUUCGCAGUUGCUUCGUAUGCAAGAGAUGAUCGCGAAAAUGCAAGAGGAAAUGAACAGACAGAAACAGGGACAAUAAACAUUAAACCAGACCAAGAAAUUUCAAAAUCAUGCGUUCUUACGAUUGUCUAUCACAAAAUGUUCUUACAACUUACCUAGCAAGUGUAUAGAGGUUAGAUCAUAGUCUAUCACGGUAUGAUGGUCUGAAAAACUAAACAUAAGUCAUCGUUUGAUGUUUUUGUCGGAGUUUAUGUUAAUUUGUGCACGUUAAUUUCAUCACCGUCCAAUAUGGAUAUAGCUGAGACGAACGUGCAACCACGAUGAAUAAUAUUUAAUUAAGUUGAGACAAAGGAUUUGUGCACAGUAAGGUAUAGUCACAGAAUAAAGAUCAAUAACAGAAGGGCCACUCAGCGGUGCAAUAUGUCCUCGUUUUUUUAUGCAAAAAUAUGCAGUUUACUGGUCAGAAGGCGGAGCAGCCAGCCAGUACGGCGUGUUUAUUGGCCAGGAAAUGUCAUUGACUGGCUAGGAAAAUGGCGGCCAACAUGCGUAAUGCGACAUGCGCGAGGACAGAAACUUCAAAGCUCCCAACGUAAGUGGCCCUUCUGCAUGGAUCUUUAUUCUGUGGUACAGUUCAACACCAAACAAAGGUCUUCUAUUUUCAGGCUUUGAAGUUUGCCGCGCUGCCAGACCAUCAUAUCUUGACAGACUAUAUAGUUAGACUGAUGCGAUAUUGAAAAGAAUAUCGACUAUACCGAAUUAUGUACAUUAGGAAACGUAGUUUAGUCAACUGGCAUGUAUACCGUAUCACAAGCAGCAAAAACAAAGGUGCACGAAGGUAGUCAAACAUUAAAAUAUUUAUUUACAACAGUUUAUGAAUGUUUAAUUAAGAGGCAAUUUUUUUCGGUGUCGUGUAUUUGCGAUGAAAAGUGUUCAAAACCUAGGAACCUUUUGGCGUUCCUCUCAAAAUUACUUUGUUUUAGCUUUAUUUUGUACUUUACACAGUUACACGUUUGAGAAACACAAAAUAAUAGUUAAAUAUUGUCAAUUUAAGUACAAUUUUAUAUUGAUGCUGUAAAAUUGACGUCAUAUUUAUACAGCAACAUAAGCAAAACUUACUGAACUUCAGACAUAAUUUUCUCUUUGGCGUACCAUCUAAAAUCUCUUCAUCUUAGCACAAUUUUACAGAUAAAGAACUGAACAUACUUUUAAAGUUUGUUUUCCGCUUGAGAAACGUAUUUCCGGACAAUAAUUGCCGAUAAAAAGAAGAUAAAGUUGUCUAGUAAAAACUUUCGAUAUUUUGGAUAUGCGAAAAAUCGAUUAUCGAUAUUAUUGAAAUAUCGAAAAUAUCGAUGGUCAUCGAUAUAUCGCAUCAGCCUAAUAAGAGGUGCCCCAGCAUUUUAAUCGAUCUUGAUAAACUUGACCCUUGAUGCUCACGCAUUCAUAAACUGUUAUGGAAAAUAAAUAGCUAGCUGCAUGCAUGGGAAUAGCAAAACAUAGUGCAAAACUUGUAUACCAGAACUUCACGCAUUUUGUAGUUGUAAAUUUUUAUAUUUAGUUUGGAGAGUUUUCCAAUAAAGGCGAAUAAAAGAAUAUAUCAAAUAAAGUUUUGUGUGAUAGACUUAUG